CAGUCCGCGGUAAUACAGAGGGUGCGAGCGUUAAUCGGAUUCACUGGGCGUAAAGCGUGCGUAGGCGGCUUUUUAAGUCGGAUGUGAAAUCCCUGAGCUUAACUUAGGAAUUGCAUUCGAUACUGGGAAGCUAGAGUAUGGGAGAGGAUGGUAGAAUUCCAGGUGUAGCGGUGAAAUGCGUAGAGAUCUGGAGGAAUACCGAUGGCGAAGGCAGCCAUCUGGCCUAAUACUGACGCUGAGGUACGAAAGCAUGGGGAGCAAACAGGAUUAGAUACCCGCGUAGUCCCUGUCUCUUAUACAC
Molecule: ribosomal RNA, 301 nt
Filed under: uncultured bacterium
Lineage: Bacteria
Description: partial 16S ribosomal RNA
Rfam family: Bacterial small subunit ribosomal RNA
Source: RNAcentral